AUGGAAACUGCAGCCGUGCCUGUCUGUCUCCUUUUACUGUGGAUCUCAAAUGUCACUGGAGAAAUGACAACACAGUCUCCUGCCUCCCUGAGUUUUUCUCCAGGUGAAACAGCAACUCUGACAUGCAUAUCCACUCAGAGUGUUGGCACUUAUUUAGCUUGGUACCAACAGAAACCAGGGCGGGUUCCCAGGCUCCUUAUCCAUAGUGCAUCCACCAGGGCCAGUGAUGUCCCAGUCCGGUUCAGUGGCAGUGGAUCUGGGACAGACUUCACUCUCACCAUCAGUAGUCUGGAACCUGAGGAUGUUGCCACUUACUAUUGUCAGCCAAUGAAUGGUUGGUCACCCACAGCGAUUCAACAUGUGACAAAAACCUCAAGGAGACCACAAUGUUUUUGA
Non-coding RNA from Onychomys torridus (southern grasshopper mouse), 396 nucleotides. The record is from the annotation of a RefSeq genome assembly. Lineage: Eukaryota; Metazoa; Chordata; Mammalia; Rodentia; Cricetidae.